GAGUUUGAUCUUGGCUCAGAUUGAACGCUGGCGGCAUGCCUUACACAUGCAAGUCGAACGGCAGCACGGGAGCUUGCUCCUGGUGGCGAGUGGCGAACGGGUGAGUAAUGCAUCGGAACGUAUCCUGGAGUGGGGGAUAACGUAGCGAAAGUUACGCUAAUACCGCAUAUUCUGUGAGCAGGAAAGCGGGGGACCUUCGGGCCUCGCGCUCUUGGAGCGGCCGAUGUCGGAUUAGCUAGUUGGUGAGGUAAAGGCUCACCAAGGCGACGAUCCGUAGCAGGUCUGAGAGGAUGAUCUGCCACACUGGAACUGAGACACGGUCCAGACUCCUACGGGAGGCAGCAGUGGGGAAUUUUGGACAAUGGGGGCAACCCUGAUCCAGCCAUGCCGCGUGAGUGAAGAAGGCCUCGGUGUAA
This 416-nucleotide ribosomal RNA is filed under the name bacterium enrichment culture clone ALO1_GLFRUDD03FP6DU. RNAcentral's name for it is "bacterial SSU rRNA". It matches the Rfam family "Bacterial small subunit ribosomal RNA", at positions 9 to 428 of the family's 1533-position model. The record is from RNAcentral. RNAcentral also lists the same sequence under 1 other name.